GCCCGGUUAGCUCAGUUGGUAGAGAUUCAGGCUUUUAAUCUGAGGGCUAUGGGUUCGAGUCCCAUAUCGGGCU
This 73-nucleotide transfer RNA is filed under the name Paramuricea clavata. It matches the Rfam family "tRNA". Rfam says of the family: Transfer RNA (tRNA) molecules are approximately 80 nucleotides in length. Their secondary structure includes four short double-helical elements and three loops (D, anti-codon, and T loops). Further hydrogen bonds mediate the characteristic L-shaped molecular structure. tRNAs have two regions of fundamental functional importance: the anti-codon, which is responsible for specific mRNA codon recognition, and the 3' end, to which the tRNAs corresponding amino acid is attached (by aminoacyl-tRNA synthetases). tRNAs cope with the degeneracy of the genetic code in two manners: having more than one tRNA (with a specific anti-codon) for a particular amino acid; and 'wobble' base-pairing, i.e. permitting non-standard base-pairing at the 3rd anti-codon position. The record is from Rfam by way of RNAcentral. Lineage: Eukaryota; Metazoa; Cnidaria; Anthozoa; Malacalcyonacea; Plexauridae.